Molecule: long non-coding RNA, 598 nt
Organism: Vicia villosa (hairy vetch)
Lineage: Eukaryota; Viridiplantae; Streptophyta; Magnoliopsida; Fabales; Fabaceae
Exons: 3
Source: RefSeq, a predicted model, not a curated record
CGAAUUUACGAUGGCAUUGAUGAUUGGCUGGCAUAUGGUUCUCAAUUGUUUCUAUUUCCUUUGUAUUUUUGUGACAGUAGCGACACACUGAUUAUUGCAAGCAAUCAAGAAGGUGAUGGUUUUUACAACCAACAGGCAAUUCUCUAUAAUUGGAGAUAUAAUAUAGUAGAGGAAAUUACUUCAAAGCACACCGAGAUAUUGUGGUUUUAUACCAAGGAUUAUGUUGAAAGCUUGGUUUCGACCUGUCCAAAUAGUAUCUAGAAUCAUAACUGUCCUGUCACUUGUGGUACGAGCUUGUCGUCAGGCAUCAAGGACCGCACCAUCAAUCAACUUCAAGCACAUAAGGCAUUAUUGAGGUUGAUGGCUUGGUAGGAAGUAAGGAAAAAGUAUUAUUGGAGCUAUAUUUUCUUCUGUUUUAGUGCUCAUUUGGUAUAAGAUGUUUAUGGCUCUAUUGGUUCCUCUUUUGGACUACUUUGUAAGUGUCGAUAGAAUUUACCGCCAAAUAUGUUGUUUUACAAUUGUACUCCUAUUUGUGUAAGAGAGCCAUUGGGAAGAAUUAUUGUUGCUGAAACAUCCAACUAUUUUCUGAUGAUAUCAA